AGAGUUUGAUCCUGGCUCAGAGCGAACGUUAGCGGCGCGCCUAACACAUGCAAGUCGCACGAGAGGGGGUAACCCCGAAAGUGGCGCACGGGUGCGUAACACGUAGAUAAUCUGCCCUUCAAAGGGGGAUAACGUUCCGAAAGGAGCGCUAAUACCGCAUAAAGCCGAGUCGGGUUCGCCUGAUUCGGACAAAGGCUGGGACCGCAAGGCCAGUCGUUGAAGGAGGAGUCUGCGGCCCAUCAGCUAGUUGGUAAGGUAAUGGCUUACCAAGGCAAAGACGGGUAGCUGGUCUGAGAGGAUGAUCAGCCACACUGGUACUGGAACACGGACCAGACUCCUACGGGAGGCAGCAGUGGGGAAUCUUGGUCAAUGGGCGCAAGCCUGAACCAGCGACGCCGCGUGAGUGAUGAAGGCCUUCGGGUUGUAAAGCUCUGUGGGGAGGGACGAAAGACUGAGGUCUAAUAGGCUUCAGGUUGACGGUACCUCCUUAGCAAGCACCGGCUAACUCUGUGCCAGCAGCCGCGGUAAGACAGAGGGUGCAAACGUUGCUCGGAAUCACUGGGCGUAAAGGGCGUGUAGGCGGGAAGGAAAGUCAGAUGUGAAAUCCCCAGGCUCAACCUGGGAACUGCAUUUGAAACUCCCUUUCUUGAGUACCGGAGAGGAAAGUGGAAUUCCUGGUGUAGAGGUGAAAUUCGUAGAUAUCAGGAGGAACACCAGUGGCGAAGGCGGCUUUCUGGACGGUAACUGACGCUGAGACGCGAAAGCGUGGGGAGCAAACAGGAUUAGAUACCCUGGUAGUCCACGCUGUAAACGAUGAGUGCUAGGUGUCGUGGGUAUUGACCCCCGCGGUGCCGUAGCUAACGCAUUAAGCACUCCGCCUGGGAAGUACGGUCGCAAGACUAAAACUUAAA
Molecule: ribosomal RNA, 911 nt
Filed under: uncultured bacterium
Lineage: Bacteria
Description: bacterial SSU rRNA
Rfam family: Bacterial small subunit ribosomal RNA
Source: RNAcentral